UACGUAGGCAGCAAGCGCUGUUCGGAGUUACUGGGCGUAAAGGGUGCGUAGGCGGCCUUAUAAGUAUGGUGUGAAAUCUCCCGGCUUAACUGGGAGGGUGCGCUAUAGACUGUGGGGCUAGAGUGUGGGAGAGGAAAGUGGAAUUCCUGGUGUAGCGGUGAAAUGCGUAGAUAUCAGGAGGAACACCGGUGGUGUAAACGGCUUUCUGGACCAUAACUGACGCUGAGGCACGAAAGCGUGGGUAGCAAACAGG
This 253-nucleotide ribosomal RNA is filed under the name uncultured bacterium. Its description in RNAcentral is "partial 16S ribosomal RNA". It matches the Rfam family "Bacterial small subunit ribosomal RNA", at positions 524 to 776 of the family's 1533-position model. The record is from RNAcentral.